AUUGAACGCUGGCGGCAGGCCUAACACAUGCAAGUCGAGCGGAUGAAGGGAGCUUGCUCCUGGAUUCAGCGGCGGACGGGUGAGUAAUGCCUAGGAAUCUGCCUGGUAGUGGGGGAUAACGUCCGGAAACGGGCGCUAAUACCGCAUACGUCCUGAGGGAGAAAGUGGGGGAUCUUCGGACCUCACGCUAUCAGAUGAGCCUAGGUCGGAUUAGCUAGUUGGUGGGGUAAAGGCCUACCAAGGCGACGAUCCGUAACUGGUCUGAGAGGAUGAUCAGUCACACUGGAACUUGGAAACGGUCCAGAAUCCUACGGGAGGCAGCAGUGGGGAAUAUUGGACCAUGGGCGAAAGCCUUAUCCAGCCAUGCCGCGUGUGUGAAGAAGGUCUUCGGAUUGUAAAGCACUUUAAGUUGGGAGGAAGGGCAGUAAGUUAAUACCUUGCUGUUUUGACGUUACCAACAGAAUAAGCACCGGCUAACUUCGUG
This 484-nucleotide ribosomal RNA is filed under the name uncultured bacterium. Its description in RNAcentral is "partial 16S ribosomal RNA". It matches the Rfam family "Bacterial small subunit ribosomal RNA", at positions 30 to 507 of the family's 1533-position model. The record is from RNAcentral.